UUGUCUCUCUUGAGUGGAUCCUGAGUACGACGGAGCACGUGAAAUUCCGUCGGAAUCUGGGAGGACCAUCUCCUAAGGCUAAAUACUCUCUAGUGACCGAUAGUGAACCAGUACCGUGAGGGAAAGGUGAAAAGCACCCCGGAAGGGGAGUGAAAUAGAACCUGAAACCGUGUGCUUACAAGUAGUCAGAGCCCGUUAAUGGGUGAUGGCGUGCCUUUUGUAGAAUGAACCGGCGAGUUACGAUUUGAUGCAAGGUUAAGCAGUAAAUGUGGAGCCGUAGCGAAAGCGAGUCUGAAUAGGGCGUUUAGUAUUUGGUCGUAGACCCGAAACCAGGUGAUCUACCCUUGGUCAGGUUGAAGUUCAGGUAACACUGAAUGGAGGACCGAACCGACUUACGUUGAAAAGUGAGCGGAUGAACUGAGGGUAGCGGAGAAAUUCCAAUCGAACCUGGAGAUAGCUGGUUCUCUCCGAAAUAGCUUUAGGGCUAGCCUCAAGUGAUGAUUAUUGGAGGUAGAGCACUGUUUGGACGAGGGGCCCCUCUCGGGUUACCGAAUUCAGACAAACUCCGAAUGCCAAUUAAUUUAACUUGGGAGUCAGAACAUGGGUGAUAAGGUCCGUGUUCGAAAGGGAAACAGCCCAGACCACCAGCUAAGGUCCCAAAAUAUAUGUUAAGUGGAAAAGGAUGUGGCGUUGCCCAGACAACUAGGAUGUUGGCUUA
RNAcentral lists this ribosomal RNA (718 nucleotides) under Staphylococcus aureus. RNAcentral's name for it is "partial 23S ribosomal RNA". It matches the Rfam family "Bacterial large subunit ribosomal RNA", at positions 388 to 1108 of the family's 2925-position model. The record is from RNAcentral. Lineage: Bacteria; Bacillati; Bacillota; Bacilli; Caryophanales; Staphylococcaceae.